AGGGAAUCGACAACUGCCACAAAGGCCCCAGGAGUGUCAACAGGUUAGACAGAAGAAAAUGCCUGAAUCCAAGCCACUGAGCAACCCUCUAGCAGGCAAGUGUCACCCCAGAAGGAAGAGAGAGGACGAGGAACUUACAUGUACAGGGUUCCACUUCCCGGCCUUCCAGGAUGGCAGGAGGAAGAGAACAGACAAUAGAGUCAUUGGGCAUCAUCAUCAACAAAGCCAACAGAGAAACUUUUCUUUAAAAAGAAGAACCAAUGGGAAGAAAGUAUUUCAGUUUGUGUUUCAAGGUGGUUUUUGGAAGAAAUAGCACUGAUUUUGAUGAAAUCAGAAACAAGUGAUUU
This is a long non-coding RNA of Rattus rattus (black rat), 347 nucleotides long. RefSeq lists it as uncharacterized. NCBI's taxonomy places the organism in Eukaryota, Metazoa, Chordata, Mammalia, Rodentia, Muridae. The record is from RefSeq and is a predicted model, not a curated record. The transcript is spliced from 2 exons.